UACGUAGGGCGCAAGCGUUGUCCGGAUUUAUUGGGCGUAAAGAGCUCGUAGGCGGCUUGUCGCGUCGUCCGUGAAAACUUGGGGCUCAACCCCAAGCUUGCGGUCGAUACGGGCAGGCUAGAGUUCGGUAGGGGAGACUGGAAUUCCUGGUGUAGCGGUGAAAUGCGCAGAUAUCAGGAGGAACACCGGUGGCGAAGGCGGGUCUCUGGGCCGAUACUGACGCUGAGGAGCGAAAGCGUGGGGAGCGAACAGG
RNAcentral lists this ribosomal RNA (253 nucleotides) under uncultured bacterium. Its description in RNAcentral is "partial 16S ribosomal RNA". It matches the Rfam family "Bacterial small subunit ribosomal RNA", at positions 524 to 776 of the family's 1533-position model. The record is from RNAcentral.